AUCUUCUGGGUUUACUAUGGUGAAGAACAGAGAGGUGGAAGAGAGAGGAAGAAGAAGACGAGAAGAGGACGAUAUCACUAUUAUUCUCUCACAGGUUGUAAAAUUCUCUCCUUUUUGUAUUCUUUAUGAGUUAGUGGUUUUGGUUCAGCUUCUUUAUGGUUGCUCUAGUGGUCUCUGAAACUAUUUUAUAAGCUACAUUGCGGUGGAUAGAGAUGGUAUACAGUCUCGCUCUAGUCGAUUUGGUGUUAAUAUGGAUCGAAUUGAAGAUGUUAACAGGAUGUUUGAAUCCGUUCAAAAAGCUCUCGCGUGCCCAUCGAAAACUGCUGCACCGUCGCUUGCUUAGUCUCCUCCCAUGACUGAGAUUCCUCUCUCCUCCGCGUCCCUUGUUGAGCUUCCACCGGAGCAACCGUCGGCCUCCAGUUUCGAUCAUUCACUCUCGGACAACCAGUCGGGAACCCAAAUUCACGCGCCUACAGAGACACCUCCGAUCGUGUCUUCCCCAGCGGUCUUGUCGUCUUCAACCUCUGAAUCGAUGCCUUCCUCUGGUUUGGAUCCCGACAUCGAAAUGUCAUCUGCCGCACAACACUCUUCGCCAUCGUCCUCUGGUAUCGUAAGGAAUCUUCCUCUCUCUCUCUCUCUCGUUUGUUUUGAUUCUUCUACUUCGUGUAGAAUGAGCUGAGAUGAUCUUAUGUUGACUAGUUUUAGAAUUUAGUAUAUGCGAGAGUGAUUGUGUUUGGGGAAUGAUAGAUAGAUUUGUUCUCGAUCUGUUCAACUAGAUAGUUAAAAUAGAGGCUAUAGAUUUGUAGGGAAUAGUAUAGAAGAGACCUAUAAUUGUAGGGAUUUGAAGAUUUGGAUUGGUUCCNNN
Molecule: long non-coding RNA, 865 nt
Filed under: Capsella grandiflora
Lineage: Eukaryota; Viridiplantae; Streptophyta; Magnoliopsida; Brassicales; Brassicaceae
Description: long non-coding RNA (CGRA_LNC000549)
Source: RNAcentral